GCCCAGGUGGUGGAAUUGGCAAACACGCUAGCUUCAGGAGCUAGUGCCGAUAACGGCUUGGGAGUUCGAAUCUCCCCCUGGGCA
RNAcentral lists this transfer RNA (84 nucleotides) under Candidatus Parcubacteria bacterium. Its description in RNAcentral is "tRNA-Leu". It matches the Rfam family "tRNA". Rfam says of the family: Transfer RNA (tRNA) molecules are approximately 80 nucleotides in length. Their secondary structure includes four short double-helical elements and three loops (D, anti-codon, and T loops). Lineage: Bacteria; Candidatus Parcubacteria. The record is from RNAcentral.